AACAGUUUUGAGAAGUACAUUGUAUAUAAAGGAACAUUGUCUAGUGGAGUCGAGAUUGCUGUUGAUUCUACUAAUGUUGCUUCUACUAAGGAUUGGUCAAAGAACAUGGAGAUAGCCUAUAGAAGAAAGAUUUUCUUCCUUCUUAUGUCAAUGGAAAUGGAAACACUGAGAGUUUCAAUUCAAUUGAUUGAUGGAAUUUCAUGUUUCAAACUUAACUGUUUAGCCAACUUAUUUCCUUACAUACAUGCUUUCAAAUUGUUGCUCUAUCCCGUUUUAACUAUAAGAACUUUACCAAUCUUAUUGAUUAUUGUGACAAAGACGAACCAUUCACAAGGAUGA
This is a non-coding RNA of Vicia faba (fava bean), 339 nucleotides long. The record is from the annotation of a GenBank genome assembly. Lineage: Eukaryota; Viridiplantae; Streptophyta; Magnoliopsida; Fabales; Fabaceae.